RNAcentral lists this ribosomal RNA (484 nucleotides) under uncultured bacterium. RNAcentral describes it as "partial 16S ribosomal RNA". It matches the Rfam family "Bacterial small subunit ribosomal RNA", at positions 28 to 523 of the family's 1533-position model. The record is from RNAcentral.
AAUGAACGUUGGUGGCGUGGAUUAGGCAUGCAAGUCGUGCGCGAAAGUCCCUUCGGGGACUGGAGAGCGGCGAACGGGGUAGUAAUGCGUCGGAACGUACCCUUGGGUCUGGGAUAACCGCGGGAAACUGCGGGUAAUACCGGAUGACCUCUUUGGAGCAACGGUGAGACUCCGCCCGAGGAGCUGCCGACGUGAUACCAGCUAGUUGGUGAGGUAAUGGCUCACCAAGGCUCAGACGUCUAGGGGGUGUGAGAGCAUGGCCCCCACCACUGGGACUGAGACACUGCCCAGACACCUACGGGUGGCUGCAGUCGAGAAUCUUCGGCAAUGGGCGAAAGCCUGACCGAGCGACGCCACGUGCGGGAUGACGGCCCUCGGGUUGUAAACCGCUGUCGAGGGGGAUGAAGUCAUUGGGAGCUAUCUCCCGAUGUUGACAGAGCCCUGGAGGAAGCGCGGGCUAAGUACGUGCCAGCCGCCGCCGUAA